Molecule: long non-coding RNA, 766 nt
Filed under: Sinocyclocheilus anshuiensis
Lineage: Eukaryota; Metazoa; Chordata; Actinopteri; Cypriniformes; Cyprinidae
Description: lncRNA (ENSSANG00000009720.1)
Source: RNAcentral
ACCCGGAACUUGUAUAACUGCCCGGAAACGACCACUGUGAGGCGAACAGAAGUACCCGAAGGAAGACGGGGGCACUAAAAAUUGACACGGGGCGGAAAAUAUUUGGCCGACCAUAAUCCGCAUAAAAAUUAAGCGGAAAACGGCCUGGAAGGGCAGUUUCAGUCGAAAUCGUAUGGUGAGAACGCCAUCGCGCGAGGUUGAGCGUUAGCGAGCGCAGCCAGCGGAAAUUGGGGUUUGUUUAACGGAUCGAAAGCGAUGGAGAGGCCUGCGAGAGUGUUUUUCCACGGGAUGAGUAAAAAUGACCUGCUAACCUGAAAUCGGAAACCGCCUUUGUGCACGUCUACGCUUUCGGCGCCCUUUUUAGCGUUAUUAUUUUCACGCAUUGCUCUUCAAGAGGACUUUCUCCGUUCACGAGCAGAGGGAUGUGAUUGAAAAAGGGAAUUCGGCUCUUCCCCUCUCCCUCAUCCCCCCUUCACAGUCCACAUAACCAUCCCGGAGAACAAUCGGCGCUUUUCUUUCAACCAAAAAGGAUUUGUGAAUUGCUGAUUAUUGAUUGUUUUUCCAUGCAUGUUCUCGUAUUAGAGUUAUUGGUAUUGGAGUCACCAGUGUUUUUGGUUGCAUUUCAGUUACUUUUGACAGGUGUAAAGACUUGACAGAUAUAAGGAUUUGAUUUUGUCAUAUUUAAGGACUUCUAAACACCAGAUUGUAUUGGAAUGUGUGGAUGGAUGAAUGUCUGGUUGGUGUAUUUUUUUUUUUAUUAUAGCUC